Molecule: ribosomal RNA, 749 nt
Filed under: human gut metagenome
Description: bacterial SSU rRNA
Rfam family: Archaeal small subunit ribosomal RNA
Source: RNAcentral
GUGAGGGACGAAGCCCUGGGUCGCAAACGGGAUUAGAUACCCCGGUAGUCCAGGGUGUAAACGCUGCAGACUUGGUGUUGGAGGCCCUUCGGGGGCAUUCAGUGCCGGAGAGAAGUUGUUAAGUCUGCUACUUGGGGAGUACGUCCGCAAGGAUGAAACUUAAAGGAAUUGGCGGGGGAGCACCGCAACGGGAGGAGCGUGCGGUUUAAUUGGAUUCAACACCGGAAAACUCACCAAGGGCGACUGUUACAUGAAAGCCAGGCUAAUGACCUUGCUAGAUUUUCAGAGAGGUGGUGCAUGGCCGUCGUCAGUUCGUACCGUAAGGCGUUCUCUUAAGUGAGAUAACGAACGAGACCCUCACUGAUAAUUGCUACUCCAUCCUCCGGGGUGGAGGCACAUUAUUGGGACCGCUGGCGCUAAGUCAGAGGAAGGAGAGGUCAACGGUAGGUCAGUAUGCCCCGAAUCUCUUGGGCUACACGCGCGCUACAAAGGGCGGGACAAUGGGCUCCGACGCCGAAAGGCGAAGGUAAUCUCGAAACCCGUCCAUAGUUCGGAUUGAGGGUUGUAACUCACCCUCAUGAAGCUGGAUUCCGUAGUAAUCGCGAAUCAACAACUCGCGGUGAAUAUGCCCCUGCUCCUUGCCCACACCGCCCGUCAAACCAUCCGAGUUGGGUUUCAGUGAGGUUGCCUCUAAUUAGGGUAUUCGAACUGAGAUUUAGCAAGGAAGGUUAAGUCGUAACAAGGUAUCU